GGGCGCAUGCGCGGUCUGCCUCCCGCGGCGGGCCGGGUCUCCAGGGAGGACCUGAGUUUUCUUCACCCAUUGUCAGGGAGGCGCCAUCGCCCUGGCUUUGGGGCUGGGGCCUCCGGGGAGGUUCCGGUAGGGGCGUUGGAGAGGCCGCUCUUUUUGCAAGGCCCGAGACGGCGGGCCUUGCGCAGGCCGCCCUAUUCCGCGCCCUCAGGGCGUCAGUAUCAGCCUGAGGCUGGAUACCCCCGCUGGGCCCAGAUGCCCCCGCUGGGCCCGGAGCAUCCUCCGGCGCUGCCCUCCCAGAGCCACGCAGAGGCUGAGGUGGCGCGGGGGCGGCCCUGGCUCCGCGAGAAGCGGCGGCAGCGAGGGCUGGAGGACCCGGGCUGCGGGGCUCCGGGGCGUCUGGCCUGGGUGGGACUGAGCCCAUCCAGGGACUGGGACUCCGGGGUUCUGGUGUAGGUGGAUCCGGGGCAGGCUCAGGACCAAGUCCCUCUCCUUCCACCAAGGAGCGCCCAGAGGCCGGCGGGAGCUCCAGGUUCACCUCCUCCUCCUCCAGGAAAUCCCACUUCCAACUGGAUGUCUGGAUGAACUACUGAAAGCUGCUGAGUGUCCUGCAGCAGCUUGACUACAACACAAAUGAAUCCACUCAAAUGUUGGCAAGUGGAGCAGAGUCCCAGAACAGUCUGCAAUCUCUACAGGUACAGAAACACCCCCAGUUCAAGGAUCUUCACACCUGGAUUUAGGCCUACUCCUGCAACUACCCCAGCUACUUACACCAAGAUGAAGAUAAUUUAUUAGUUCAGGAAGAAUCUGCAUUCUGAAGACAAAUAGAAGUUCCAGCUACAGAUGGGCAGACACAUGCCCUCUCAAUUCCUGAUGGACCUCCUAGUGCCUUCUGGACCUAAGGGGCCUCCCUCAAUGUUCCAAGGUGCCACCAAGGCAGGGAUCAGCUCGUGCAUUCCUGAGAACAUCCCGGAUGAAGUGAGGCUCUGGAAAAAUGCAAGAGUUUCCACAUAAUCCCAAAAAACACUACAGGUGAACUGGAUGCCACAGAAAGAGGAGUGGUCUUUGUCACAACGAAAUCAACAAAAUUAUUUCGAAGUCAAUUAGGAAACUCAGAAAUCACUCUUGCUACCAUUAAGAGGAAGAACAGGAGCCUGUGAAUGGCAUCCCUGGCCUACCUGAGACUCCAAAGAUAUUUCUCUGUGGCUUCUGACAGCAGAAAUCUCUGUGAUUUUCAGAAAGGCAGGGACAGCUCCUGCCAGCCCAUCCUUCUGCAGAAUGUGUCCCAGCAGAUCAGUGGCAUGGAACCAUCAUGGACAGCACAAAGGCUCAAGGGCAGCAUCCCAGGCCGGCCUGUGACUCUAGAUAAGUUCUGAGUCCCCAUGGGGGCUCAGGAAAGGUUAGUGAUGACCUGGAAAGAAGGGACAGGCUGAAACCGCCCCUAAGCAAUCUGCAGGAUUCCAACUUCAGCAGGAAGCCAAGGACCAGCUAUUACCACACCUGCGCCCCCUGAAAACGCUGGAUACAAUCCCACUCUGCAGAAAGUUCCACAUAGAAGUGGCUGGGAAUUUUGCCUUCUAGACUGCAUUUUACACUGCCUCUGGACAUGUGAUGAGAAAUUUAACAUUGGUGUAUCUAACUCUGACAUUUUUCACGAAGUGAUUUUUUAAAAUAUGGUAAAAAAGACAAAAUAUAAUUCAAACAUAUGCAUUAUAUGUCAAAGUAUGCUUCGCUGGCAUCAAGUAGACUCACCUUGAGAUGCAAUCUUGGACAACCUCCAUCUUAAGAAUAUCUAGUUUUUCAAACCAAAACUCUCCAACCAAAAAUCAAUAACAUCAAAAGUUUGCAACUACAAGCCGACGGAAAAUAAAUACAUGAAUUCUACCACAGUGAAUUGGACUGCACUGGGAAACACAGAUGAAGAAAGCCAACACCGCUUUGUCCUUCAGUACCUGGCUCCCUUUUCAGCUCGUCUUGCGACUCCAGGCAUUAUGCCUGAAAAGUCUCCUGGACGCCUGUGAGGCUCUAAUUCCCUGGGUCCCAUUGUCAUGUCUCUGGAUUUGCGAAGAUUAACCGGACCUUCUGUGGAACUCCCGUGUCCCUCAACUUUUGUGACAUGUCCCCUAAUUCUGCCCAUGGUCAUCUGCACCUGCACGACUUAGGGUCCAUGUUCCUUGGACGGGAAGAGACAGGCAGGAGUCGGAAUGAUGAACCAGCACACUGGGGCAUUUUCUCAUGUAGCCCAAGUGACCCCAUGGUCUUCUUGAGCUUUGGAACCAGUCGCGUCCCCCUUGACACUGCACCCGACUCCCAGUUUCUCAAUCUUGUUGGCCCUCCGGCGAUCUCCCGUUGGAUGAAUUGCAUCUGCUGAAACUCGAGUCCCCUUUGAUUUGUGCUUCAUUAAUUAUUCAUGAUUCAGGUUGGAAGGCCUGCUGACGACCCCCUGUGGCCGUUUUCCGAGCUUUCCGGUCACAUCGUUUCCUUCCACCCUCUUUGGUUCCUUGUGGUCCUGCUCCUUCUGCUGUCAGAGGAGCAGAGAGUUGAUCUUAUUGAUUCUGGAUACGGAUACUUUGUAGGUGAUCUGGAUAAUCAAGAUAACGACCCUCAAAAGCGGCGGAAAGGGAGCAGCCAUUUGGUGUGUCUCAGCAAAUCCCGCUGAGUUCCGAGGCCGCCUAGGUAUGCAAUCCUGCUGAGAGUUGUUCCCAGGUCAGAGAAUGGAGAGAGCCUGUGCAUGAUGGGAUAUCCCUGCCUAGAUCUUUCAGUGAGUCUCUACCUCAGCUACUCUUAGGAUCAGGGGGAGAACCAUGGAAAGGCCCGGUGUCAGACAUCCGGAAAGAAGAGGGAUGAAUGUUUCACCUCUGAAGUACAUCCCAAAUGUGGGAGUUAACUUCAGCUUUGCUGGGGUCUACUUGGCCAGCGAAACUCUGCCUGGUUCAUUCGCACAUCCGGAAGCCACUUCACGGGGAGCCGUCGCAACCGGAACCACACACUUGGCAUCGGCGGUUGAGCCAAAUGGGGACUCGUGGUGCAAGCAACGCUCCCCACGUGUUAGCGUGCGUGAGAUUCAAUUGGCGGAAUUUUACUAGGUGCGUGUUGGUAGAGCGGGGCUGAGGUUUUCUUGCUCCUGUGGAUGUAUAGGAAGUCAAAGGUCCUGCCCAGCCCUGCGGUCCCCUCAGUCAACUCUGUUUCGGAGACAUAACGAUUUGGAUUGCUAACAAGUCAAGAAAUGUUCAAGUCCUUGGAUGUAGGGAAAAGAAAGAGAGAUCAGACUGUCACUGUGUCUAUGUCGAAAGGGAAGACAUAAGAGACUCUAUUUUGAAAAGGACCUGUACUUUAAACAAUUGCUUUGCUGAGAUGUUGUUCAUUUGUAGCUUUGCCCCAGCCACUUUGCCCCAGCCGCUUUGACCCAACUUGGAGCACACAAAAACCUAUGUUGUAUAAAAUCAAGGUUUAAGGGAUCUAGGGCUGUGCAGGACGUGCCUUGUUAACCAAAUGUUUACAAGCAGUAUACUUUGUAAAAGUCAUUGCCAUUCUCUAGUCUCAAUAAACCAGGGACACAAUGCACCGUGGAAAGCCGCAGGGACCUCUGCCCUUGAAAGCAGGGUAUUGUCCAAAGUUUCUCCCCAUGCGAUAGUCUGAAAUAUGGCCUCGUGGGAUGAGAAAGACCUGACUGUCCCCCAGCCUGACACCCGUAAAGCGUCUGUGCUGAGGUGUAUUAGUCAAAGAGGAAAGCCUCUUGCAGUUGACAUGGAGGAAGGCCACUGUCUCCUGCUUGCCCCUGGGAACUGAAUGUCUCGGUGUAAAACCCGAUCGUACAUUUGUUCAACUCUGAGCUCGGAGAAAAGCUGCCCUGUGGAGGGAGGCGAGACAUGUUGGCAGUAAUGCUGCCUUGUUAUUCUUUACUCCGCUGAGAUGUUUGGGUGGAGAGAGACAUAAAUCUGGCCUACGUGCACGUCCAGGCAUAGUACCUUCCCUUGAACUUAAUUAUGAUAUAGAUUCUUUUGCUCACAUGUUUUUUGUUGACCUCCUUAUUAUCACCCUGCUCUCCUAGUAUAUUCCUUUUUGCUGAAAUAAUGAAAAUCAUAAUCAAUAAAAACUGAGGGAACUCAGAGGCCGGUGCAGGUCCUUGGUG
Molecule: long non-coding RNA, 4129 nt
Organism: Homo sapiens (human)
Lineage: Eukaryota; Metazoa; Chordata; Mammalia; Primates; Hominidae
Gene: FAM66D
Product: family with sequence similarity 66 member D
Source: Ensembl